AUUUUAACUACCAACGUGGGCAUUGCCAACGACAGCGAAGCAGGCGGUGUGACUUAGAACAAUGAAAAAGAUUGAUGUAUGGAGAUUAAGGGAGAUAAGAGCAAAUGGCACAAUCAAUAUCAACUGCCCCAGGAUGCACCACCAUGAGCAGAGGGCCAGGAAAACCACUAAGCUGACUGCAAGGCUGAAUAAUCAAAUGGCACAAUCAAUAUCAACUGUCCCAGGAUGCACCACCACUAGCAGAGGGCCAGGAAAACCACCAAGCUGCCUGCAAGGCUGAAUAAUAUUUAUGAGCUCAUCCUUUCUCUCCAAAGCAUGAGAGCACAAGAGGAAGGUGGAUGAAGAAAACCAGAGAGAGAGGGAGUAGAAACACCACGCAAGAAGAAACAGGAUGAAUGUGAAAGAAGAAAUGUUAAGAGAAUAACGCCGGCUGGCCAAAGAGGUCAAAUAGAUAGCUUCUCUCUUUUCGUUUGCCUGUUUGCUCGAGUGUAUCCACUCACCAUUUCGGCUUUAGCUGGUGUAGAAUUUGUGUUCCUUGUGUAAACACACACUCACACACAUGACUGUGUGCACAUACAUGCACACAAAUGGAUGCACAUACUGUACAUACAUACACAAGAGCGUGCACACACACACACAUGCAAACAUGCACAGUAGCACAGUAGCACACACACACACUCUCGAUUAGUUAUUGAUCUAUUACCCCACUGAGAAAAAGGACAAUUAUUCCAUCGGUAAAGGAAAUAAAGCACAAU
Molecule: long non-coding RNA, 755 nt
Organism: Oncorhynchus gorbuscha (pink salmon)
Lineage: Eukaryota; Metazoa; Chordata; Actinopteri; Salmoniformes; Salmonidae
Exons: 5
Source: RefSeq, a predicted model, not a curated record